ACGAACCGUACAAACGUUAUUCGGAAUCACUGGGCUUAAAGGGUGCGUAGGCGGCCAUGUAAGUGGGGUGUGAAAUCCCUCGGCUCAACCGAGGAACUGCGCUCCAUACUGCAUGGCUUGAGGGAGACAGGGGUAAGCGGAACUGAUGGUGGAGCGGUGAAAUGCGUUGAUAUCAUCAGGAACACCGGUGGCGAAAGCGGCUUACUGGGUCUCUUCUGACGCUGAGGUACGAAAGCUAGGGGAGCGAACGGGAUUAGAUACCCCGGUAGUCCUAGCUGUAAACGAUGAGCACUUAUCUGGGGAUCCUCCCAUAGGUUCCCGGAUGUAGCGAAAGUGUUAAGUGCUCCGCCUGGGGAGUAUGGUCGCAAGGCUG
This 373-nucleotide ribosomal RNA is filed under the name uncultured bacterium. Its description in RNAcentral is "bacterial SSU rRNA". It matches the Rfam family "Bacterial small subunit ribosomal RNA", at positions 525 to 896 of the family's 1533-position model. The record is from RNAcentral.